This is a long non-coding RNA of Oreochromis niloticus (Nile tilapia), 250 nucleotides long. RefSeq lists it as uncharacterized. The record is from RefSeq and is a predicted model, not a curated record. The transcript has 2 exons. NCBI's taxonomy places the organism in Eukaryota, Metazoa, Chordata, Actinopteri, Cichliformes, Cichlidae.
AAUCACUCUCAGAUGUGAGAUUCAGGGAGGUGAAGGAAAGGUGUGGAAAUAUGAAUGGACAGCACCCAACACAAACAGCCCUCCAACAUCCAGUGAAUACAGGAUCAGCAGAGUUUCAGUGUCCCACAGUGGAGACUACAGAUGUCGGGGUAGCAGUGACUAUCUCUUAACAGGAUGCAGUGAUGCCUUCAGACUGACAGUUUCAUCAGGUAAACCCAGAGCCACACUGAGACCACGAAGUUCAAUCAUA